Molecule: ribosomal RNA, 253 nt
Filed under: uncultured bacterium
Lineage: Bacteria
Description: partial 16S ribosomal RNA
Rfam family: Bacterial small subunit ribosomal RNA
Source: RNAcentral
UACGAAGGGGGCUAGCGUUGUUCGGAAUUACUGGGCGUAAAGCGCACGUAGGCGGAUCCUUAAGUCAGGGGUGAAAUCCCGAGGCUCAACCUCGGAACUGCCUUUGAUACUGGGGAUAUCGAGUCCGGGAGAGGUGAGUGGAACUGCGAGUGUAGAGGUGAAAUUCGUAGAUAUUCGCAAGAACACCAGUGGCGAAGGCGGCUCACUGGCCCGGAACUGACGCUGAGACGCGAAAGCGUGGGGAGCGAACAGG